GGCGGGUCCCUCCGCAUUGCAAGACGGCUGACCGGGUCAGGUUCGGAAGAAAGCAGCCCACGCCGUUGUCGCAAGUGCCGGAGUCAGGCUCGCCAAC
Molecule: signal recognition particle RNA, 97 nt
Filed under: Zoogloeaceae bacterium
Lineage: Bacteria; Pseudomonadati; Pseudomonadota; Betaproteobacteria; Rhodocyclales; Zoogloeaceae
Description: signal recognition particle sRNA small type
Rfam family: Bacterial small signal recognition particle RNA
About the family: The signal recognition particle (SRP) is a universally conserved ribonucleoprotein involved in the co-translational targeting of proteins to membranes. Archaeal SRP consists of a 7S RNA and homologues of the eukaryotic SRP19 and SRP54 proteins.
Source: RNAcentral